This 240-nucleotide ribosomal RNA is filed under the name uncultured bacterium. RNAcentral describes it as "partial 16S ribosomal RNA". It matches the Rfam family "Bacterial small subunit ribosomal RNA", at positions 95 to 334 of the family's 1533-position model. The record is from RNAcentral.
ACGGCGGACGGGUGGGUAACGCGUGGGUAACCUACCCUGUACACACGGAUAACAUACCGAAAGGUAAUGCUAAUACGGGAUAAUAUAUUUGAGAGGCAUCUCUUGAAUAUCAAAGGUGAGCCAGUACAGGAUGGACCCGCGUCUGAUUAGCUAGUUGGUAAGGUAACGGCUUACCAAGGCGACGAUCAGUAGCCGACCUGAGAGGGUGAUCGGCCACAUUGGAACUGAGACACGGUCCAA